UACGGGGGGGGCAAGCGUUGUUCGGAAUUACUGGGCGUAAAGGGCUCGUAGGCGGCCAACUAAGUCGGAUGUGAAAUCCCCAGGCUUAACCUGGGAACUGCAUCCGAUACUGGAUGGCUUGAAUCUGGGAGAGGGAUGCAGAAUUCCAGGUGUAGCGGUGAAAUGCGCGGAUAUCAGGAGGAACACCGGUGGCGAAGGCGGGUCUCUGGGCAACUACUGACGCUGAGGAGCGAAAGCGUGGGGAGCGAACAGG
This 253-nucleotide ribosomal RNA is filed under the name uncultured bacterium. RNAcentral describes it as "partial 16S ribosomal RNA". It matches the Rfam family "Bacterial small subunit ribosomal RNA", at positions 524 to 776 of the family's 1533-position model. The record is from RNAcentral.